AGCCUUGUGUAAUUGUGAAUGAAAUUGCGGAUCAAAAUAGUGUAGAUGUUAGAAUGGAUUUGAAAAAGAAUGUCUGUUUAGUAUGUCAUCAUCAUGUUCGUUAUUAUUAGCUAUUAUUACUGAUGGAUGUGGUAUGGAACUGCUAUGGUCAUGUUCUUUUGAAGGCCUGAUAUCACGAAGAAUAUUAUCGCUAACUUUUUAGUUUUUUCACCUUUUAUGAGAUAUCACUCCUGUGUGUGCCUGGAAUGGAAUGUUCCAAUUAUGGGUGGGUAUAGUUACCUGUAGGGGUGAGUACAGUUACCUGUAAAAAUGGUUUCUCUGGAGGCUACUCUUCCUCAGUUAGUUUUCUCAGAUGUCCGAGGUGUAUUCUAGCGUGUGUGUUAUUUAAAGAGAGCUCUGUCUCAAUAUGCUGUAAUGACUGUGCAUAUUCAACUCUUUUGUAAAUAUUUUUCAGUUUGUUUUAUUUGGUCCUUUUGCUUGUUUUUUUAUUUUUAUUUACCCCUUUUUUUUGCACUGGAAACUCCAACCCCCUUGGUGGUGGGUGAAUUACUUACAAGCCACUCAGUUUGUGUCUUCCUGCUGCCUUCUUGUGCCUACCCUAGAUACCUUCAACACACAACAUUUGGGUGGCAGCGCUGGGAUGGCUUGCCGUGAGGCCAUAGGAGGCGUGCCCGGUGUGUGAACCGUACGAGGGACCCCCAGGUUAGGCUGACCCCUGUGUGAGGGACCCCAGAGAUGGGUGAGGGACCCCCAGGUUAGGCUGACCCCUGUGUGAGGGACCCCAGAGAUGGGUGAAGAACCAUUGUGUUAUACAACCUGGGAUGGGAGAAGUACGGUUGAAGGAUGCGUGAGGGACCUCGACGUGUGUGUGAAGUGCAAUGGGUGCGCUUCCCGAAAGGGGAGGGCAGUGUGACGGAGUGGCGUUACUACAGUUGAGUAUGCACUUUGACUGCCACACCAACGGGUUGUUUGUUUGUGGUCAGGGUGAAGUUUGGUACCCCGUAGACCCAGGUUUGGUGCCUGCUCUCUCCUUUCACUACAGGGUAUCUCACACAAGGACCUAGAGCCUCCAGAACAAAGUGUGUAUGAGGGCUGUCAAAAGGUAGAUGUUUGGCAUAGAUCAUUUUCCUUUCAGAGACACAUUGUGUCUGUGGUGGUUCUUAAUUGCUACAACUUUCCUUUUGCAAAAUGGUUUCCAG
Long non-coding RNA from Clupea harengus (Atlantic herring), 1199 nucleotides. NCBI's taxonomy places the organism in Eukaryota, Metazoa, Chordata, Actinopteri, Clupeiformes, Clupeidae. The record is from Ensembl.